AGAGUUUGAUCCUGGCUCAGAGCGAACGCUGGCGGCAUGCUUAACACAUGCAAGUCGCACGGGAGGGGUAACCCUUCAGUGGCGGACGGGUGAGUAACGCGUAGGUAUCUGUCUUGGGGUGGGGGAUAACUGUGGGAAACUACAGCUAAUACCGCAUGACGCCUGAGGGCCAAAGCUCGUGAGAGCGCCUGGGGAGGAGC
RNAcentral lists this ribosomal RNA (200 nucleotides) under uncultured bacterium. RNAcentral describes it as "partial 16S ribosomal RNA". It matches the Rfam family "Bacterial small subunit ribosomal RNA", at positions 8 to 230 of the family's 1533-position model. The record is from RNAcentral.